ACUCCUACGGGAGGCAGCAGUAGGGAAUCUUCGGCAAUGGGGGAACCGUCGACCGAGCAACGCCGCGUGAGUGAAGAAGGUUUCGGUAUCGUAAAGCUCUGUUGUAAGAGAAGAACGAGUGUGAGAGUGGAAAGUUCACACUGUGACGGUAUCUUACCAGAAAGGGACGGCUAACUACGUGCCAGCAGCCGCGGUAAUACGUAGGUCCCGAGCGUUAUCCGGAUUUAUUGGGCGUAAAGCGAGCGCAGGCGGUUAGAUAAGUCUGAAGUUAAAGGUCUGUGGCUUAACCAUAGUACGCUUUGGUAAACUGUUUAACUUGAGUGCAGGAAGGGGAGAGUGGAAUUCCAUGUGUAGCGGUGAAAUGCGUAGAUAUAUGGAGGAACACCGGUGGCGAAAGCGGCUCUCUGGUCUGUAACUGACGCUGAGGCUCGAAAGCGUGGGAGCAAACAGGAUUAGAUACCCUGGUAGGAUAGCG
RNAcentral lists this ribosomal RNA (475 nucleotides) under uncultured bacterium. RNAcentral describes it as "bacterial SSU rRNA". It matches the Rfam family "Bacterial small subunit ribosomal RNA", at positions 335 to 799 of the family's 1533-position model. The record is from RNAcentral.